ACAAAGGCUCUCUUAAGAGCCACCCACACAAUCCACGAGAGAGCUG
Molecule: non-coding RNA, 46 nt
Filed under: Pelobates cultripes (western spadefoot toad)
Lineage: Eukaryota; Metazoa; Chordata; Amphibia; Anura; Pelobatidae
Rfam family: Histone 3' UTR stem-loop
About the family: The mRNAs of metazoan histone genes lack a poly-A tail.
Source: RNAcentral